GGGUCGUUAGCUCAGUUGGUAGAGCAGCGGACUUUUAAUCCGUUGGUCGCUGGUUCGAGCCCAGCACGGCCUACCA
Molecule: transfer RNA, 76 nt
Filed under: Azoarcus sp.
Lineage: Bacteria; Pseudomonadati; Pseudomonadota; Betaproteobacteria; Rhodocyclales; Zoogloeaceae
Also listed under: 82 other names
Description: tRNA-Lys
Rfam family: tRNA
About the family: Transfer RNA (tRNA) molecules are approximately 80 nucleotides in length. Their secondary structure includes four short double-helical elements and three loops (D, anti-codon, and T loops).
Source: RNAcentral